RNAcentral lists this ribosomal RNA (408 nucleotides) under uncultured Sphingobacteriales bacterium. RNAcentral's name for it is "bacterial SSU rRNA". It matches the Rfam family "Bacterial small subunit ribosomal RNA", at positions 506 to 916 of the family's 1533-position model. Lineage: Bacteria; Pseudomonadati; Bacteroidota; Sphingobacteriia; Sphingobacteriales. The record is from RNAcentral.
UGCCAGCCGCCGCGGUAAUACGGAGGAUCCUAGCGUUAUCCGGAUUCAUUGGGUUUAAAGGGUGCGCAGGCGGAAUGGUAAGUCAGUGGUGAAAUCCUGCAGCUUAACUGCAGAACUGCCAUUGAUACUGUCAUUCUUGAGUAUACUUGAAGUGGGCGGAAUGUGUCGUGUAGCGGUGAAAUGCUUAGAUAUGACACAGAACACCGAUUGCGAAGGCAGCUCACUAAGUUAUAACUGACGCUCAUGCACGAAAGCGUGGGGAUCAAACAGGAUUAGAUACCCUGGUAGUCCACGCCGUAAACGAUGAUUACUCGAUGUUGGCGAUAUACAGUCAGCGUCUAAGCGAAAGCAAUAAGUAAUCCACCUGGGGAGUACGAUCGCAAGGUUGAAACUCAAAGAAAUUGGCGG